CAAACUAACCUAGUAGUUAGGAUUUUUAGUUACAUUAAAAAGAUAAAUUGUGCAAUUCAAUGUAGUUUGA
This 70-nucleotide transfer RNA is filed under the name Amazonina sp. Z256E. Its description in RNAcentral is "tRNA-Val". Lineage: Eukaryota; Metazoa; Arthropoda; Insecta; Blattodea; Pseudophyllodromiidae. The record is from RNAcentral.